This 460-nucleotide ribosomal RNA is filed under the name uncultured bacterium. RNAcentral describes it as "partial 16S ribosomal RNA". It matches the Rfam family "Bacterial small subunit ribosomal RNA", at positions 338 to 795 of the family's 1533-position model. The record is from RNAcentral.
CCUACGGGAGGCAGCAGUGAGGAAUAUUGGUCAAUGGACGAGCGUCUGAACCAGCCAAGUAGCGUGCAGGAUGACUGCCCUAUGGGUUGUAAACUUCUUUUAUAUGGGAAUAAAAUGUUCCACGUGUGGGGUUUUGUAUGUACCAUAUGAAUAAGGAUCGGCUAACUCCGUGCCAGCAGCCGCGGUAAUACGGAGGAUCCGAGCGUUAUCCGGAUUUAUUGGGUUUAAAGGGAGCGUAGGUGGAUUGUUAAGUCAGUGGGGAACUGUUGCGGCUCAACCGGAACAUUGCAGUGGAAACUGGCAGGCUUGAGUACAGUAGAGGUAGGCGGAAUUCGGGGUGUAGCGGUGAAAUGCUUAGAUAUGACGAAGAACUCCGAUUGCGAAGGCAGCUCACUGGACUACAACUGACGCUGAGGCUCGAAAGUGUGGGUAUCAAACAGGAUUAGAUACCCGGGUAGUC